This 76-nucleotide transfer RNA is filed under the name Lentisphaeria bacterium. RNAcentral describes it as "tRNA-Met". It matches the Rfam family "tRNA". Rfam says of the family: Transfer RNA (tRNA) molecules are approximately 80 nucleotides in length. Their secondary structure includes four short double-helical elements and three loops (D, anti-codon, and T loops). Lineage: Bacteria; Pseudomonadati; Lentisphaerota; Lentisphaeria. The record is from RNAcentral.
GGCGGGUUAGCUCAGUAGGUAGAGCAGCGGAAUCAUAAUCCGCCUGUCACUGGUUCGAUCCCGGUACCCGCUACCA